Lates calcarifer (barramundi perch) is the source of this 2067-nucleotide long non-coding RNA. RefSeq lists it as uncharacterized. The transcript is spliced from 2 exons. The record is from RefSeq and is a predicted model, not a curated record. Lineage: Eukaryota; Metazoa; Chordata; Actinopteri; Centropomidae.
ACAUUAGAAGAAGGUGAUUUUAAAUGUCUGUUUGCUGCAGCUGGGUUUUAUGUGGGGAGAAGACUGAGAUGCAGCCAUUAAACAGUCAGACCAGAUUUUUGAUAUAUGAAAUACAAACAUGAAACAGAAUUGAAAUGAAUGGCGUGAGUGUGAUAUUUCUAUGAAUUAGAAGAUUUUUUUCAUUUCAAGACACUAAAAAGAUUCAUUGUAAGAGAAAUGAAGCUGGAAGAGAAGUAUUUUAUUUUGGUAGCUCAAAUUUAGUGUCGAUGCUCACUCCACACCAGUAGGUAGCGGUAAGGCGCCAUUUUGUUUUUUGCCAAUCGCGGAGAAAAAAAUAAAAAACGAAGAAGAGGUGAGCUGUACGCAUCUAUCCGGACAUCUUCAGUGUUAAAAGACGAAAAUCAGAAAUAAAAAGUUAUAUUUGGACGGUAGAGAGGAGUUGAUUGACCUGGCUGAGCAAACCUCACAACAACAGCCAUGGGUUCCUCUAUUGAACUGAGUGAGGAUCUGAAACUGAAGCUGAUUGAUGCCUACAAAUCAGGGAAAGGCUAUAAGAAGAUAUCAAAGCGCUUUGGGUUCUCAGUUUCCACAAUCCGCAACGUCAUUAAGAAAUGGAAGAUAAGGGGAACUGUGGAAGUCAAGCCAAGAUCUGGACGACCAAGAAAGAUUUCAGAUAAAACCGCUCGUCUCCUCGGCAGAAAGGCAACGCAAAACCCCCACAUGACUGCGAAGGACCUGCAGGAGGGUUUAGCCGACACAGGAGUGAUGGUGCAUCCUUCCACUGUGCAGCGCUGCCUGAACAAACAGGGUCUACAUGGACGAGUCAGAAGGAAACCUGAGGCGGACACCUCAACAGACAAGUCGACAUCUGAAGUCAAAGAAACAUCUGGAUGAGACGAGAGUCGUGUUGGAAACGAGUGCUGCAGACAGAUGAAGUUUACCUUGAGCUGGAGACGUUAUAACUCAGAGGGAGCUUUGAUUGAGCUCCUUGGAGGACAUGACUGUACAUUCCUUGAUAUUAACCCCCUCAUGUUUAGACGUAAAACCUCCUAAGGUGGCUCCAUGAUCUGCUAACAACAGGAGCGGCCGAUCAUCAGGUAAAUCCUGAAGAAGACACACAGGAACACACAGGAAACACUGAUCCACAGCUCCAUCAAACCCCUCCAGUCCUGAGUCUGACUUGAUGCAACCAUUGAUGCAUUCAGGACCCACUUAACAUCAGUGCUGGGGUGAACAUUGAAUGUCUUGCAGGAGUGGAGACCAUAUUUAAAGCCCUGCUAAAUCAAAGGAUCCAUACAAAGAUGAUCAUGUAGUUACCUUUAACCGUCUGAAACAAAAUUCUCAUCUUACACAUUCUGAUUUGUGGAAACAUCUCCAGCUCCAGCGCUGCUGAGACCUGGUCCUGAUCCAGUCACUGAAAUCCAGACCCAGUCACAAUGUACCUGCUGGUAAAAAGGCAGUGUAUCAGUUGAGCUUAUCAGAGAAGCCAGUCCACUUAGACCUGACAAUCCUCAAGUGAUGUCAGAGAGACUGGGGAAAAUAUUGAAGAACAGCCGGCACCUGUCUGUCAGUGCAUGCUCAGAAUAUUUCUGAAUUAUAGUGAAUGUUUAUGUGUUCACUUCUGAUUGUAUGCUGCUGAUUUUUAUCUGUGUGAUUACUGUUCGUAUUGUUUAUUUAUUUAUGUUUGGGAGGUCAUGGAUAUUCCGGAGGUAAAAUGUUGUAAUAGAUUACUUAAUAAAUAAAAGGAUUGAGCUCUUUGGCCACAGUCAGUGAAGGUAUGUUGAAGGAAAAAAGGAGCAGCAUUUCGUGAAAAGAGCACUUUGCCAGCUGUUCAGCAGGGGGGUGGAAAUCUUCUGGGUUUGUGUGUCAGCCAGUUACACAGGAAACACUGCAGACAGAGGGGAGCAGUGGAUUCCACCAAAUAUCAGCAGACUGUAAACACAAAUGUCCUGCAGUCAGUCAGGACAGUGAAGAAACGAACCUGUACUGACAGUGGGUUUGCACAGCACAGAUUUUUUCCCUUAUGUUCUAAGUUUAUAAUAAAUAAGCAUCAGCAUUUUGAAGAAA